GACCCGGCUAAGCGGUCUGGCCUAUGGUCAGCACUGUUUCGGUUGGGUCUUUCCUCUUGGGGAACCAAGGUGCUCUUAAUUGAGUGCCUUGGGGAUCCAAGGCGUUUACUGUGAAAAAAUUAGAGUGUUUAAAGCAGGCCUACGCUUGAAUACGUUAGCAUGGAAUAAUAGAAUAGGACUUUGGUUCUAUUUUGUUGGUUUCUAGGACCAAGGUA
RNAcentral lists this ribosomal RNA (215 nucleotides) under uncultured fungus. RNAcentral's name for it is "partial small subunit ribosomal RNA". The stretch from base 89 to 215 matches the Rfam family "Eukaryotic small subunit ribosomal RNA", at positions 735 to 864 of the family's 1831-position model. Lineage: Eukaryota; Fungi. The record is from RNAcentral.